RNAcentral lists this long non-coding RNA (1009 nucleotides) under Lonchura striata (white-rumped munia). RNAcentral describes it as "domestica (Bengalese finch) lncRNA (ENSLSDG00000002945.1)". The record is from RNAcentral. Lineage: Eukaryota; Metazoa; Chordata; Aves; Passeriformes; Estrildidae.
CCAAGGCUCCCCUGGGUGUCCCCUGUCUGUCCCCGAGUGUCCCUGGGUGUCCCUGGGUGUCGCCAGGUGUCUCCAAGGGUCCCCUGUGUGUCCCUGCCUGUCCCCACAUGUCCUUGAGGGUCCCUUGGGUGUCCCCAAGGCUCCCCUGGGUGUCCCCUGUCUGUCCCCGAGUGUCCCCUGUCUGUCCCUGGGUGUCCCUGGGUGUCCCCAAGGCUCCCCUGGGUGUCCCCUGUCUGUCCCCGGGUGUCCCUGGGUGUCCCUGGGUGUCCCCAAGGCUCCCCUGGGUGUCCCCUGUCUGUCCCUGGGUGUCCCUGGGUGUCCCCAAGGCUCCCCUGGGUGUCCCCUGUCUGUCCCCAGGUGUCCCUGGGUGUCCCCAGGUGUCCCCUGUUUGUCCUCUGUGUGUCCCUGCCUGUCCCCACAUGUCCUUGAGGGUCCCCUGGGUGCCCCCAAGGCUCCCCUGGGUGUCCCUGUCUGUCCCCGAGUGUCCCUGGGUGUCCCCAGGUGUCCCCAAGGCUCCUCUCUCUGUCCGUGUGUGUCCCCUGUGUGUCCCUCUGUCUGUCCCUGUGUGUCCCUGUGUGUCCCCUUGGUGUCCCUCUCUGUCCCCCGAGUGUCCCCGAGUGUCCCCGAGUGUCCCCAGCCCGUUUUUGGGGCGCAGCUGUUCCUGUUCCAGCUCCUGCGGGGUCUCGCCUUCUGCCACCGCCACAAAGUUCUGCACCGCGACCUCAAACCCCAGAACCUCCUGCUCAGCCGCCGGGGGGACCUCAAGCUGGCAGACUUCGGCCUGGCCCGGGCCAAGUCCAUCCCCACCAAGACGUUCUCGAGCGAGGUGGUGACGCUGUGGUACCGCCCGCCCGACAUCCUGCUGGGCUCCACCGAGUACAGCACCCAGAUCGACAUGUGGUGGGCACUGGGAGUACUGGGAGGGACUGGGAUGGGCACUGGGGGCACUGGGAGGGACUGGGAUGGGCACUGGGGGCACUGGGAUGGGCACUGGGGGCACUGGGAUUCA